AUUGAACGCUGGCGGCAGGCCUAAUACAUGCAAGUCGAGCGGAUGAACGGGGCUCGUGCCUGGAUGCAGCUGCCGACGGGUGGGUGAGGCCUACGAAGCUGCCUGGUCUUUAGGGAUAACGUCCGGUAACGGGCGCUGAUAUCACAUCGGUUCAGAGGGUGAAACUCAGGGAUCUACGGUCCACACGCUAUUUGCUGUGCCUUGGUGAGGUAUCCGGGCCGCAUUAGCUAGUUGGUACGGUAAAGGCCUACCAAGGCAACGAUGCGUAGCCGAUCUGAGAGGAUGAUCAGCCACACUGGAACUGAGACACGGUCCAGACUCCUACGGGAGGCAGCAGUAGGGAAUAUUCCACAAUGGGCGAAAGCCUGACGCAGCCAUGCCGCGUGUGUGAAGAAGGUCUUCGGAUUGUAAAGCACUUUAAGUUGGGAAGAAGAAAAGUAAAUUAAAACCUUCCUGUCUUGACGUUACCAACAGAGUAAGCACCGGCUAACUUCGUG
This 497-nucleotide ribosomal RNA is filed under the name uncultured bacterium. RNAcentral describes it as "partial 16S ribosomal RNA". It matches the Rfam family "Bacterial small subunit ribosomal RNA", at positions 30 to 507 of the family's 1533-position model. The record is from RNAcentral.